RNAcentral lists this ribosomal RNA (503 nucleotides) under uncultured bacterium. RNAcentral describes it as "partial 16S ribosomal RNA". It matches the Rfam family "Bacterial small subunit ribosomal RNA", at positions 30 to 523 of the family's 1533-position model. The record is from RNAcentral.
AUUGAACGCUGGCGGCAGGCUUAACACAUGCAAGUCGAGCGGGGUGAUGGUGCUUGCACUAUCACUUAGCGGCGGACGGGUGAGUAAUGCUUAGGAAUCUGCCUAUUAGUGGGGGACAACAUCUCGAAAGGGAUGCUAAUACCGCAUACGUCCUACGGGAGAAAGCAGGGGAUCACUUGUGACCUUGCGCUAAUAGAUGAGCCUAAGUCGGAUUAGCUAGUUGGUGGGGUAAAGGCCUACCAAGGCGACGAUCUGUAGCGGGUCUGAGAGGAUGAUCCGCCACACAAGGACUGAGACACGGCCCAGACUCCUACGGGAGGCAGCAGUGGGGAAUAUUGGACAAUGGGGGGAACCCUGAUCCAGCCAUGCCGCGUGUGUGAAGAAGGCCUUAUGGUUGUAAAGCACUUUAAGCGAGGAGGAGGCUCUUUUGGUUAAUACCCAAGAUAAGUGGACGUUACUCGCAGAGUAAGCACCGGCUAACUCUGUGCCAGCCGCCGCGGUAA